Molecule: transfer RNA, 68 nt
Filed under: Gallus gallus (chicken)
Lineage: Eukaryota; Metazoa; Chordata; Aves; Galliformes; Phasianidae
Description: tRNA-Val
Rfam family: tRNA
About the family: Transfer RNA (tRNA) molecules are approximately 80 nucleotides in length.
Source: RNAcentral
UUCUGUAGUGUAGUGGUUAUCACGUUCGCCUCACACGCGAAAGGUCCCCGGUUCGAAACCGGGCAGAA